UCUCGAUUCGUCUAGUGGUUAGGAUACCUGCUUGUCAUUCACGACUAUAGUCCCACGAAGGACCGAAUUCGCAGGUGGCCGGGGUUCAAUUCCCCGAUCGAGAG
Molecule: transfer RNA, 104 nt
Filed under: Hypoxylon rubiginosum
Lineage: Eukaryota; Fungi; Ascomycota; Sordariomycetes; Xylariales; Hypoxylaceae
Description: tRNA-Asp
Rfam family: tRNA
About the family: Transfer RNA (tRNA) molecules are approximately 80 nucleotides in length. Their secondary structure includes four short double-helical elements and three loops (D, anti-codon, and T loops).
Source: RNAcentral